UACGUCGGGGGCUAGCGUUGUCCGGAAUCAUUGGGCGUAAAGAGCGUGUAGGCGGUCCGGUAAGUCCGCUGUGAAAGUCGGGGGCUCAACCCUCGAAUGCCGGUGGAUACUGUCGGGCUAGAGUGCGGAAGAGGCGAGUGGAAUUCCUGGUGUAGCGGUGAAAUGCGCAGAUAUCAGGAGGAACACCUAUUGCGAAGGCAGCUCGCUGGGACGUAACUGACGCUGAGACGCGAAAGCGUGGGGAGCAAACAGG
This 253-nucleotide ribosomal RNA is filed under the name uncultured bacterium. RNAcentral describes it as "partial 16S ribosomal RNA". It matches the Rfam family "Bacterial small subunit ribosomal RNA", at positions 524 to 776 of the family's 1533-position model. The record is from RNAcentral.